RNAcentral lists this ribosomal RNA (467 nucleotides) under uncultured bacterium. RNAcentral describes it as "partial 16S ribosomal RNA". It matches the Rfam family "Bacterial small subunit ribosomal RNA", at positions 28 to 506 of the family's 1533-position model. The record is from RNAcentral.
GACGAACGCUGGCGGCGUGCUUAACACAUGCAAGUCGAACGGAAAGGCCCUGCUUUUGUGGGGUGCUCGAGUGGCGAACGGGUGAGUAACACGUGAGUAACCUGCCCUUGACUUUGGGAUAACUUCAGGAAACUGGGGCUAAUACCGGAUAGGAGCUCCUGCUGCAUGGUGGGGGUUGGAAAGUUUCGGCGGUUGGGGAUGGACUCGCGGCUUAUCAGCUUGUUGGUGGGGUAGUGGCUUACCAAGGCUUUGACGGGUAGCCGGCCUGAGAGGGUGACCGGCAACAUUGGAACGAAGAUACGGCCCAGACUCCUACGGGAGGCAGAAGUGGGGAAUAUUGCACAAUGGGCGGAAGCCUGAUGCAGCAACGCCGCGGGCGGGAUGACGGCCUUCGGGUUGUAAACCGCUUUCGCCUGUGACGAAGCGUGAGUGACGGUAAUGGGUAAAGAAGAACCGGCUAACUACGU